This 87-nucleotide transfer RNA is filed under the name Thermoanaerobacteraceae bacterium. RNAcentral's name for it is "tRNA-Gln". It matches the Rfam family "tRNA". From Rfam's summary of the family: Transfer RNA (tRNA) molecules are approximately 80 nucleotides in length. Their secondary structure includes four short double-helical elements and three loops (D, anti-codon, and T loops). Further hydrogen bonds mediate the characteristic L-shaped molecular structure. tRNAs have two regions of fundamental functional importance: the anti-codon, which is responsible for specific mRNA codon recognition, and the 3' end, to which the tRNAs corresponding amino acid is attached (by aminoacyl-tRNA synthetases). tRNAs cope with the degeneracy of the genetic code in two manners: having more than one tRNA (with a specific anti-codon) for a particular amino acid; and 'wobble' base-pairing, i.e. permitting non-standard base-pairing at the 3rd anti-codon position. The record is from RNAcentral. Lineage: Bacteria; Bacillati; Bacillota; Clostridia; Thermoanaerobacterales; Thermoanaerobacteraceae.
UGGGACGUAGUUUAAUGGCAAAACACCAGACUUUGACUCUGGGGACUGGUAAAGCAAGUGAAGGUUCAAGUCCUUCCGUCUCAGCCA